CCUACGGGAGGCAGCAGUGGGGAAUAUUGGACAAUGGGCGCAAGCCUGAUCCAGCAAUGCCGCGUGAGUGAUGAAGGCCUUAGGGUCGUAAAGCUCUUUUACCAGGGAUGAUAAUGACAGUACCUGGAGAAUAAGCUCCGGCUAACUCCGUGCCAGCAGCCGCGGUAAUACGGAGGGAGCUAGCGUUGUUCGGAAUUACUGGGCGUAAAGCGUACGUAGGCGGUUAUUCAAGUCAGAGGUGAAAGCCCGGGGCUCAACCCCGGAACGGCCUUUGAAACUAGGUAGCUAGAAUCUUGGAGAGGUCAGUGGAAUUCCGAGUGUAGAGGUGAAAUUCGUAGAUAUUCGGAAGAACACCAGUGGCGAAGGCGACUGACUGGACAACGUAUUGACGCUGAGGUACGAAAGCGUGGGGAGCAAACAGGAUUAGAUAACCCUGGUAGUCCACGCCGUAAACGAUGAUAACUAGCUNUUCGGGCACUUGGUGCUUGAGUGGCGCAGCUAACGCAUAAGUUAUCCGCCUGGGGAGUACGGUCGCAAGAUUAAAACUUAAAAGAAUUGACGGCUGNGACGNGCGAGACGACGACGAGGAGAG
This 592-nucleotide ribosomal RNA is filed under the name uncultured bacterium. Its description in RNAcentral is "bacterial SSU rRNA". It matches the Rfam family "Bacterial small subunit ribosomal RNA", at positions 338 to 945 of the family's 1533-position model. The record is from RNAcentral.